AUUCCAGCCACAGCAGCCCCUCAGCGUCCCCCAGUCACACCGUCCCCAUUGCUGCUUAUCUGUGCCUUUGUCCAUCUACAAUGCCCUUAUUUCACUCUGCCUGUGGGAGUCCUGUGAAUCUCUCCAAAGCCAACUCAGUUCAUCUUUCUGCUUGAAACCUUCCCUGAAUAGGCCAGGUGCGGUGGCUCACGCCUGUAAUCCCAGCACUUUGGGAGGCCAAGGCAGGCAGAUCACAAGGUCAGGAGAUGGAGACCAUCCUGGCUAACACAGUGGAACCCCGUCUCUACUAAAAAUGCAAAAAAUUAGCUGGGUGUGGUGGCGGGCGUGUGUCGUCCCAGCUACUUGUGAGGCUGAAGCAGGAGAAUGGCAUGAACCUGGGAGGUGGAGCAUGCAGCCAGCCAAGAUCAGGCUGCUGCACUCCAGCCUGGGGGACAGAGCGAGACUCUGCCUCAAAAAAAAAAAAAAAAAAAGAAAGAAAGAAACUUCCCUGAAUAUUCCAGCCCUCCUGAGCCUAGUCCCUUUUUGAGAUUUGUCCCCAUUUCUUGGACACCAUAUGAGAGACUUCAGAGGCUGAAGUGGGAGGAUUGCUUGAGCCUGGGAGGUCGAGGAUGCAGUGAGCUGUGGUCAUACCACUGCACUCUAGCCUGGGCAACAGAGCGAGACCUUGUCUCAAAAACAGCCACCACCAAAAACUAUCUUGGGAUUUGAAUAGGAUUACCUUAAAUUUGUAGAUAAAUUUGAGAAUUGACAUCUGUACGACAUUCUAGAACAUGGUAUUUCAUGUCAUGAAUUCAUUUCUUGUUAAUGUCUUUCAGAAGAGUUUUAGGGUUUCCAUCAUAUAGAUCUUACACAUCUUUUGUUAGAUAACAGAUCUUUGUAUUUUUGUUCCUAAAUACUUCAGACAUUUGUAUUGCCAUUGUAAAUGGGAUCUUUCUUCCAUUUUCUAGUUAGUUAUUGGUGGUACAUCUGAAAAGCAUUUGAGGUUUGUGUGCUGCUCUCUUGAUUUUGUUUCUAGCCACCGUACUGAAUUCUCAUAUUACUUCCAGUAAAAUCUUAGUUGAUUCUCUUAGGCUUCUUUGGCUAACAUUUAUUAUUUUAUAUGCAAAUAAUGACAGUUUUGUCUCUUCCUUUUCAAUACUUACACUCUUUCCUUCCUUUCCUUUCUUUUUUUUUUCUUUCUCAGGGCCUUGUUGUCACCCAGACUGGAGAGCAAUGGUGUGAUCUAGCUCACUGUAACCUCAAACUCCUGGGCUUAAGGGAUCCUCCUGCCUCAGCUUCCUGAGUGGCUGGGACUACAGGCAGGCAGUGAAUUUGAAAACUUUUGUUGUAGAGACAAGAUCUUGCUAUGUUGCCCAGGCUGGUUUUCCUGCCACUUUAGAGCAGGUUUCCUUUUUUUCAUACUUUUAAGAGUUUUUUAUUAGGAAUUGUCCGCUGAAUGUUAGCUAAAACAGUCAAUAAAAUGCGUUAAGUACCAGCUGCAUGCAAGACCCUAAGUUAGAUACAGUCAGCCCUCUUCAUCAGCAGGUCCACAUCUUCAGAUUCAACUAGAUAAGGCUGAAUAUUUGAAGAAAGAAACAAUAAAAAUACAAUUAGAAAGUACAGUAUAACAACUGUUGUCAUUAUACAAUAUCUAUACAUUUUAUUAGUGAUGACCUAAAGUACAUGGGACCAGGCACGGUGACUCACACUUGUAAUCCCAACACUUUGGGAGGCCAACCUGGGCAGCAUAGUGAGACCUUGUCUUUAAUAAAAAUAAAAAUAAAAAAAUUAGCUAGUGUGGUGGUAUGCACCUGUAGUCCCAGCUACUCAAGAGGCUGAGGUGGGCAGAUCACUGGAGCCCAGGAGGUUGCGGCUGCUGUGAGCUGUGAUUGUGACACUGCUCUCCAGCCUGAGUGACAGAGGGUGAUCCUGUCUCUAAGUAAGUAAAUAAAUAAAGUAUAUGGGGGGGGGUGUGUUGGUUAUAUGCAGACACUGCACCAUUAUACGUAAGGUAUUGAGCAUCCACAGAUUCUGGUAUGGUGUGGGGGCGAUAUCCUAGAACCAGUCCUCUGCAAGGUAGCAAGGAUGACUGAACUGUGGAAGAAUCAAAGCACUGUUAAACAGCAUACAAUUCCUGUCUUCAAAAAAGUUAUCUCAUCGGGUAGAUGAGACUUAAAAUGAAUAAAAGGAAUGAAUACAC
This 2179-nucleotide long non-coding RNA is filed under the name Homo sapiens (human). RNAcentral describes it as "HSALNT0239411". Lineage: Eukaryota; Metazoa; Chordata; Mammalia; Primates; Hominidae. The record is from RNAcentral.